Molecule: ribosomal RNA, 439 nt
Filed under: uncultured bacterium
Lineage: Bacteria
Description: partial 16S ribosomal RNA
Rfam family: Bacterial small subunit ribosomal RNA
Source: RNAcentral
CCUACGGGCGGCAGCAGUGGGGGAUAUUGCACAAUGGGGGGAACCCUGAUGCAGCGACGCCGCGUGGGUGAAGAAGCGCCUCGGCGCGUAAAGCCCUGUCAGCAGGGAAGAAAAUGACGGUACCUGAAGAAGAAGCACCGGCUAACUACGUGCCAGCAGCGGCGGUAAUACGUAGGGGGAAAGCGUUAUCCGGAUUUAUGGGGUGAAAAGGGGGCGCAGGCGGCGAUGCAAGCCCGGAGGGAAAGCGCGGGGCCCAACCUCGGGUCGCUUCUGAUACCUCCGGGCCGGAGGUGGAGAGGGGGAGGCGGAAUUCCGGGGGAAGCGGGGAAAUGCGUAGAUAUAGGGAAGAACACCGAGGGCGAAGGCAGCGUGCUGGCUCCAUACUGACGCUGAGGGACGAAAGCGUGGGGAGCAAACAGGAUGAGAUACCCGAGUAGUC